Molecule: ribosomal RNA, 775 nt
Filed under: uncultured Neocallimastigales
Lineage: Eukaryota; Fungi; Neocallimastigomycota; Neocallimastigomycetes; Neocallimastigales
Description: partial large subunit ribosomal RNA
Rfam family: Eukaryotic large subunit ribosomal RNA
Source: RNAcentral
UGUGUAUCAGUACAUGGCAUAUCAAUAAGCGGAGGAAAAGAAACUAACUAGGAUUCCCUUAGUAACGGCGAGUGAAGCGGGAAGAGCUCAAAUUUGAAAUCUUCAAGGUUCUACCUUGACGAAUUGUAGUUUAUAAGAAGUGUUUUCUGUUAGUGGAGUGGCAAAAGUUCUUUGGAAUAGGACAUCAUAGAGGGUGAGAAUCCCGUAUUUGACCAUUAUUUUCAGCUGUGUGAUACACUUUCAAAGAGUCGGAUUGUUUGGGAAUGCAGUCCAAAAUGGGUGGUAAAUUUCAUCUAAAGCUAAAUAUUGGCGAGAGACCGAUAGCGAACAAGUACCGUGAGGGAAAGAUGAAAAGAACUUUGAAAAGAGAGUUAAACAGUACGUGAAAUUGUCAAAAGGGAAGCGUUUGACACCAGUGUUGUUUUCUCGAAAAUCAAUUAAAAAUGGUGGGAUGUUGUGUUGUAUUGACUUUAUCAGCUUUCUGCACUUUUUUUCCUAUCUUUUUUAAUGCACUUUUCGUUUAACAAGUCAACAUCAAUUUCUUUUGUUGUAAAAGAGUCAUUGGAAGGUGGCUUUCUUUUCGGAGAAAGUGUUUAUAGCCUUUGGCUUCUGCAAUCGGAGAGAUUGAGGUCUGCAGCGUAGAUCCUUCGGGGUUAGAUGCAUUUGUGCUAAGUUAUAGCCUUUCAUAGACAACUUGUUGACUAUGAUCAGUCAUGUAGCUUACUCGCUUAUGUCAUUUUACCUACGCUUAGGAUGUUGACAGCAGUAUAGACUG